CCUACGGGUGGCAGCAGUGAGGAAUAUUCCUCAAUGGGCGAGAGCCUGAACCAGCGAAGUCGCGUGCAGGAUGAAGGUCCUCUGGUUUGUAAACUUCUUUUAUAUGGAAGUAAAGUGCGGAACGUGUUCCUUUUUGUAUUUACCAUAUCAAUAAGCAUCGGCUAACUCCGUGCCAGCCGCCCAGGGACUACGGAGGAUGCGAGGGGUAUCCGGAUUUAAUGGGUUGAAAGGGUGUGUAGGUGGGUAAUUAAGUCAGCGGUUAAAGUUUGUGGCUCAAACAUAACAUUGCCGUUGAUACUAGUAGACUUGAGUAUAUUUGAGGUAGGCGGAAUGCGAGGUGUAGCGGUGAAAUGCAUAGAUAUCACGCAGAACUCCGAUUGCGAAGGCAGCUUACUAAACUAUAACUGACACUGAAGCACGAAAGCGUGGGGAUCAAACAGGAUUAGAUACCCUUGUAGUC
This 460-nucleotide ribosomal RNA is filed under the name uncultured bacterium. RNAcentral describes it as "partial 16S ribosomal RNA". It matches the Rfam family "Bacterial small subunit ribosomal RNA", at positions 338 to 795 of the family's 1533-position model. The record is from RNAcentral.